AGAAGAGUGCCUGAUUAAAGGGCUAUUUUGAUAGAAUAGAUAAUGUAUGAAAAUACCUCUUCUA
RNAcentral lists this transfer RNA (64 nucleotides) under Helota thoracica. RNAcentral's name for it is "tRNA-Ile". Lineage: Eukaryota; Metazoa; Arthropoda; Insecta; Coleoptera; Helotidae. The record is from RNAcentral.